UACGUAGGGGGCAAGCGUUAUCCGGAUUUACUGGGUGUAAAGGGAGCGUAGACGGCAGCGCAAGUCUGGAGUGAAAUGCCGGGGCCCAACCCCGGAACUGCUUUGGAAACUGUGCGGUUCGAGUGCGGGAGAGGUAGGCGGAAUUCCUAGUGUAGCGGUGAAAUGCGUAGAUAUUAGGAGGAACACCAGUGGCGAAGGCGGCUUACUGGACCGUAACUGACGUUGAGGCUCGAAAGCGUGGGGAGCAAACAGG
This 253-nucleotide ribosomal RNA is filed under the name uncultured bacterium. RNAcentral's name for it is "partial 16S ribosomal RNA". It matches the Rfam family "Bacterial small subunit ribosomal RNA", at positions 524 to 776 of the family's 1533-position model. The record is from RNAcentral.